GAUGAACGCUGUCUACAGGCUUAACACAUGCAAGUCGAGGGGAAACGACGGGGAAGCUUGCUUCCCCGGGCGUCGACCGGCGCACGGGUGAGUAACGCGUAUCCAACCUGCCUCUGACUGAGGGAUAACCCGUCGAAAGUCGGCCUAAUACCUCAUGGCAUCGUCUGCGGGCAUCCAACGACGAUUAAAGAUUUCAUCGGUCAGGGAUGGGGAUGCGUCUGAUUAGCUUGUUGGCGGGGUAACGGCCCACCAAGGCUACGAUCAGUAGGGGUCCUGAGAGGAAGGUCCCCCACAUUGGAACUGAGACACGGUCCAAACUCCUACGGGAGGCAGCAGUGAGGAAUAUUGGUCAAUGGGCGGGAGCCUGAACCAGCCAAGUAGCGUGCAGGAUGACGGCCCUAUGGGUUGUAAACUGCUUUUAUGCGGGGAUAAAGUGAGGGACGUGUCCUUCAUUGCAGGUACCGCAUGAAUAAGGACCGGCUAAUUCCGUG
This 491-nucleotide ribosomal RNA is filed under the name uncultured bacterium. RNAcentral's name for it is "partial 16S ribosomal RNA". It matches the Rfam family "Bacterial small subunit ribosomal RNA", at positions 28 to 507 of the family's 1533-position model. The record is from RNAcentral.